This 708-nucleotide ribosomal RNA is filed under the name uncultured fungus. RNAcentral's name for it is "eukaryotic LSU rRNA". The stretch from base 266 to 421 matches the Rfam family "5.8S ribosomal RNA". The record is from RNAcentral. Lineage: Eukaryota; Fungi.
CACAAGCUUUCCGUAGGUGAACCUGCGGAAGGAUCAUUGUCGUGACCCUGACCAAAACAGACUGCGCACGCGUCAUCCAAUCCGUCGGCGACGGCACCGUCCGUCGCUCGGCCAAUGCCUCGACCACCUCCCCUCCUCGGAGCGGGUGGGGGCUCGGGGUAAAACAACCCACGGCGCCGAAGGCGUCAAGGAACACUGUGCCUAACCCGGGGGCAUGUCUAGCUUGCUAGCCGUCCCUCGUGUUGCAAAUCUAUUUAAUCCACACGACUCUCGGCAACGGAUAUCUCGGCUCUCGCAUCGAUGAAGAACGUAGCGAAAUGCGAUACCUGGUGUGAAUUGCAGAAUCCCGCGAACCAUCGAGUCUUUGAACGCAAGUUGCGCCCGAGGCCACUCGGCCGAGGGCACGCCUGCCUGGGCGUCACGCCAAAACACGCUCCCAACCACUCUCAACGGGAAUCGGGAUGCGACAUCUGGUCCCUCGUCUCUCAAGGGACGGUGGACCGAAGAUUGGGCUGCCGGCGUACCGCGCCGGACACAGCGCAUGGUGGGCGUCCUCGCUUUAUCAAUGCAGUGCAUCCGGCGCGCAGCUGGCAUUAUGGCCUUUGAACGACCCAACAAACGAAGCGCACGUCGCUUCGACCGCGACCCCAGGUCAGGCGGGACUACCCGCUGAGUUUAAGCAUAUCAAUAAGCGGAGGAGGAUCCGUG